Camellia sinensis is the source of this 530-nucleotide non-coding RNA. The record is from RefSeq and is a predicted model, not a curated record. Lineage: Eukaryota; Viridiplantae; Streptophyta; Magnoliopsida; Ericales; Theaceae.
GUUUGAUAACAAAUUUGUGUUUUUAUUUUUUUCACAGAAUAAGGGGAGAUCAGCAGCAUUUUGUUCGUAGAGAUGAGUUGAAGGCUGCUUGGGAGAUUUUUACACCUAUGCUCCACAGAAUCGAUAAUGGAGAAUUCAAGCCAAUUCCAUACCUGCCAGGCAGCCGAGGCCCAGCAGAAGCAGAUCAGUUGCUGGAAAGAGCUGGUUAUGUUCAAACACACGGCUACAUAUGGAUCCCUCCCACCUUGUAGUAGCUUUGCAUGCCUGCACGCAUAAUCUUCUGGAGACCAUGAGGUUUUGUCAGUGCCUACCUAUAACCAUAUAUAUAUAUAUAUAUACCAGCGUACAAUUGUCUCUAUGUUUUAUAAAUCUGUCAGGGCCUGCUCUUAGUAGUGUCCUGUGACAUUGCAUCGGCACUGUAAUCUUGAUGGGCUAUUAUAGAUCCAGAGUAUGAAUCUUGUUGUGUGAUUACUAAAAAUAUAAUAAUAAACUUGCGUUGAAGCCAAUGCAAGAGAGAAAUUUUGAUUUAA